This 817-nucleotide ribosomal RNA is filed under the name Cicindela aurora. Its description in RNAcentral is "partial large subunit ribosomal RNA". The stretch from base 1 to 563 matches the Rfam family "Bacterial large subunit ribosomal RNA", at positions 1844 to 2925 of the family's 2925-position model. Lineage: Eukaryota; Metazoa; Arthropoda; Insecta; Coleoptera; Carabidae. The record is from RNAcentral.
UUUAAGGUCUGACCUGCCCAAUGAGGAGUUAAAUGGCCGCAGUAUUUUGACUGUGCAAAGGUAGCAUAAUUAUUAGUUUUUUAAUUGAAAGCUUGUAUGAAGGGUUGGACGAGAUAAAGUCUGUCUUUAUUUAAUUUAGAUUAGAAUUUAACUUUUAAGUUAAAAGGCUUAAAUGUCUGUAAAAGACGAGAAGACCCUAUAGAUCUUUAUUCGAUUAAUAUUUUGAUAAUUUAGGAUUAUUUUAAUUUAAAAUUUUAGUCGAAUUUUAUUGGGGUAAUAUAAAGAUUAAAUAAAUUCUUUUUAUUCAUUACAUUGAUUUAUGAAUUAUUGAUCCAAUAUUAUUGAUUAUAAGAUUAAGUUACCUUAGGGAUAACAGCGUAAUUUUUUUGGAGAGCUCAUAUCGAUAAAAAAGUUUGCGACCUCGAUGUUGGAUUAAAAAUUAUCUUGGGUGCAGAAGCUUGAGAUUUUGGUCUGUUCGACCAUUAAAUUUUUACAUGAUCUGAGUUCAGACCGGCGUAAGCCAGGUCGGUUUCUAUCUUUAUUUAUUUCAAAUAUUUUAGUACGAAAGGACCAAGUAUUUAAUAUAGUUAUAUUUAUUUUUUGAAUUAUAUUAUUGCUUUGGCAGAAUAGUGCAAUGAAUUUAGAAUUCAUGAAUGUAACGUAGUUACAAGCAAUACUUGUAUUUGGGAGAUUUAUUAUCAAUGGUGUUAUGUAUGUUAAUUCUUGUAAUUUGUGUAUUAGUCGGUGUUGCUUUUUUGACAUUGCUUGAACGUAAGGUUUUGGGAUAUAUUCAAAUUCGUAAGGGCCCUAAUAAGGU